GAGCUAUCAACCACUCAGCCAUCUCUCC
RNAcentral lists this transfer RNA (28 nucleotides) under Piresia sp. 'morpho E' ILCO-2017. RNAcentral describes it as "partial tRNA-Ser". The record is from RNAcentral. Lineage: Eukaryota; Viridiplantae; Streptophyta; Magnoliopsida; Poales; Poaceae. RNAcentral also lists the same sequence under 1 other name.